UACAGAGGGUGCGAGCGUUGUUCGGAAUUACUGGGCGUAAAGCGCGCGCAGGCGGCCUUUUAAGUCUACCCGUGAAAUGCCGGAGCUCAACUCCGUGCACGCCGGGGGAUACUGGGAGGCUGGAGACAGGUAGAGGCAAGCGGAAUUCCGGGUGUAGCGGUGGAAUGCGCAGAUAUCAGGAAGAACACCCGUGGCGAAGGCGGUUCUCUGGGACGGUACUGACGCUGAGACGCGAAAGCGUGGGGAGCGAACAGG
RNAcentral lists this ribosomal RNA (255 nucleotides) under uncultured bacterium. Its description in RNAcentral is "partial 16S ribosomal RNA". It matches the Rfam family "Bacterial small subunit ribosomal RNA", at positions 524 to 776 of the family's 1533-position model. The record is from RNAcentral.